RNAcentral lists this small RNA (229 nucleotides) under Mycobacterium tuberculosis H37Rv. RNAcentral's name for it is "Putative small regulatory RNA". The stretch from base 163 to 229 matches the Rfam family "G2". Lineage: Bacteria; Bacillati; Actinomycetota; Actinomycetes; Mycobacteriales; Mycobacteriaceae. RNAcentral also lists the same sequence under 3 other names. The record is from RNAcentral.
CCGUUGUCACACGCACAGCUGUUUAGUGAGAGCGAGACCACGUACUCGAUCCCGUUGUUCCACGCCGGCGACACCGCCGAGUGAGGUCAACGCACUAGACUUCGACGGGGGUCUCAUCACCUCCCAAUCCCCCCAAGUCUGAGAUCCCCGUCGAACCCCAGGCUUCAGCGGGGGGCUUAUCGAUGCAUCCCCACCCCAUCCCUCGAGAUAAGAUCCCCCGCUGGCCCUC